RNAcentral lists this long non-coding RNA (1116 nucleotides) under Homo sapiens (human). RNAcentral's name for it is "mir-99a-let-7c cluster host gene". Lineage: Eukaryota; Metazoa; Chordata; Mammalia; Primates; Hominidae. The record is from RNAcentral.
GCCCGAGCAGGCAGGCACCAGAAGAGCUAGCAGCCAAUCCGGCCAUGCUCGAAGCCAGCUCUGCAGCUCAGCCAAUCAGUGACAUCAUUGCUUUCUUUAGCUUGCCCAUGGUGAUGUGAAGAUGAGAAGAAAUAGCAAGGCCCAACCAGUUCUUCAUCUGGAGACAGUUCAACGUUCUGCAAACCAGGAGCUCUUUCUGAGAUGAAGAGAAUUCUCAAUGUCAAGAUUUGAACAAGAAGAGAAUGGAAUACACAAUAUGGACAUCCAUAAAAAUUCAUCAGAGAGCAUUUUACUACUGAGCUGCAAAGGUAGGAAAAAUAAAUUUUUUUUGGUUAGAAAAUAUACUUCUUUCAUCUGCGUUUCAAUAAUUUAUUCCCCUUGUUAGAUAUACAUGGAAUUGAUAUUGCUUAUUCUGACUAAGUGAAAAGUGUUAUUUCUACUUACUGCUCAAUUAGAAACAUGUAGUGUUUAAUUGUCAGUUUGAAUUUUUCUUUCAUACUAUUACAGUUUAUAUUUUACUAUAGGCAGAAUUUCCUCUUUAUCCUAAAUUUUGAUAUUCUCCAUAAUUUCAUCGUGCCUUGACAUUGCUGUAUAUAAUUUCUAUACAUCAGGAAGGCAAUUCUGUGUGCAUGUGUGUGUGUAUAUAUAUAGUUAGAAGUUAGAAACUGAAACUCUUUUUUGUCUACCAUCAUUUCAUAUUUUUCUUGCUAUUUCAAACCUAUAAUUUUUAAAGAAACGACUAACGUAAUCAUUCAUAGAAUAUGCUGUCAGUAACUUAACAAUAUAAAUGUUAACAUGGAGGCAUUUAGUUCAGCAUUUGCUUUACUUAAUAGAGUGCAGAAAAUGUGGCCCUUUUCUCAGUUAGGGUGUAUGUGAAGAUAAAUUUAGAAUUUCUAGACUAGUAAAUACUUCUCUGAUAAUAACUUAAUUAUAGCUAUUUCAAACCAAAUUGUUUAAUUGUGGUGAAUCAUAUGUAAAUUGUUCAGAUGUAGGUCAACACCCACGCCCACAUUCUAGCACCUCUUUCCUAAUUCAAGACAACUUUGCAGUGCCUAAAAGAGCUGAACAGUGCAGAUUAGAGACAUAAGACAAAAAAAAAAAAAAAACACAAAACAA